UGAGAUCCAGAGAGAUGAUGACUUUGCCCAUAGACCAAACAAAGAAAUACAUGUUUCAGUCCUGUGUCCUCCUGCUAUGUGUGUCCGGAAUUGGUGGGUUCUUGGUCUCACUGACUUCAAGAAUGAAGCUGCGGACCCUCGCGGACCGUGUGUGAAUGCCUGCUCUGUGAGCCCUCAGAAUCUACUGGCUGAAUGAGUGCGUGGAGGAAAUGUGCUCAGAGCUGCUGUGUGUCAUCCUGUGUUUGAAGUGCUCCUGCAGCUAUCAUUCAUCCAGUUAAGAAUUUGAAGAAGUGUGUGCACAAAGCUCACAGGAUAUCGGCCAUGUUAAUGAGUCUGAUGUUGCUAGUAUCACAGGCACCGGAAAAUAUGCACAUUAUGCUGGAGCAUUAGAAUGCAACAGAAAGAGCCCUGGGCUUGGAGUAUGCAGAACUGGUUCUUGUUACAACUCCUCUUACUAGUGGGCUCUGGAAGAAAACACAUUGAAUUCAUGAUCAUGGUUAACCUUUGGAGAGAGAGAGGAGACCAGGAUGAAGGAGCCAGUCGAAGAUCCUGUUCAAGUGUACACUGAGCCAGCAGGUUCACCAGAAAGCUAUUGAGCGUUUGCUGGAACACAUUAUGCAGGGUGAAUUUCUUCUGGAAUGUUGCCAAGGAUUUUUUAUGCUUCUGUGGCAGGCAUUUCUUGAACAUUGUCAUUUAGCCAAGCAAAGAAGAUUUUCUUAAAGGAUAGAAAAUGUUUAAAAAUUUUUGUUUGUUUGAAGAUAGGUUAAAUGGCUAUAUGAUCUCAGGAUAAGACAGAGAAAAUCACUUAUUUCUCUAAGUGAUCUGAUUAGGUUAGUGAUGUUUUGCCUUUAAACAGAUUCAUCAUUAUUCCUAAAGUAUUGCUGUAUUAAUACUGUCUUCUAGAAAGUAUCCACCAGUGCCUACUUUUCUUCGAUAUCAUUAGCUGUUUUUCGAAACUGAAUUUGCUCUUCAGAGAUUUCUCAUAUGUUUGCGUAUAAGGAACUACUGGUAAUAGCCAAGAAAAUUUGGAGGUGCAGAGAACAUGCUGAAACAGAAUUUUUCACUUUCAAUUCUAGAACUAUGCCAUAAAAAAAAAGGAAAAUGUAAAAAUGUCUUUAUAUUAGAGCAGAUAUUUUAAAAGUAUUGCAAAUUCAAUGAUAAAUUCUAAGGUUAAAAUUGGACACAUAAAAAAUACAAUAUAUAAAUAUCUCCCCAGAAAUUAUUAUCUAAUGAAUAGUAAAAGCUGACUACAAACCAUGUCAUUUUAACAAGGGUUUAAAUAGUACCAAGAUUCUCAUCAUAUGCUCUGGGAUACCCAGUGAUGUACAAGGGUUCUCUCUAAACAUGGGGAGGAAAAAUUUCAAAUAUAAAGAUUUGAAUCUUGUCUUUGCCAUUCACUAGCUGUGUGAUCUUGGGUAAGUUACCUGGUUUCUCUGAGCUUCAGUGUCAUCUGUAAAACAGGAAUAAUAAUACCUAGCUCAGAGGCGGGUGUGGUGGCUCACGCCUGUAAUCCCAGCACUUUGGGAGGCCAAGGCAGGUGGAUCACUAGGUCAGGAGUUUGAGACCAGCCUGGCCAAGAUGGUGAAAUCCUGUCUCUACUUAAAAAAAAAAAAAAAUAGCCAGGCAUGGUGGCAGGCACCUGUGAUCCCAGCUACUCAGGAGGCUGAGGCAGGAGAAUCGCUUGAACCCGGGAGGCGGAGGUUGCAGUCAGCUGAGAUCUCGCCACUGCACUCCAGCCUGGGCAAUAGAGUGAGACUCCGCCUCA
Molecule: long non-coding RNA, 1765 nt
Filed under: Homo sapiens (human)
Lineage: Eukaryota; Metazoa; Chordata; Mammalia; Primates; Hominidae
Description: HSALNT0319231
Source: RNAcentral